UUGGGUUGGCCAAAAAGUUUGUUUGAGUUUUAUCAUAAGAUCUCACAGAAAAGCCCAAAUAGUUUUUUUGCCAACCCAAU
This 80-nucleotide microRNA precursor is filed under the name Ovis aries (sheep). RNAcentral's name for it is "miRNA (ENSOARG00000021731.1)". Lineage: Eukaryota; Metazoa; Chordata; Mammalia; Artiodactyla; Bovidae. The record is from RNAcentral.